GACGAACGCUGGCGGCGCGCCUAACACAUGCAAGUCGAACGGAGAUACGAUUUCGGUUGUAUCUUAGUGGCGAACGGGUGAGUAACGCGUGAGCAACCUGUCUCUUAGAGGGGGAUAACACUCGGAAACGGGUGCUAAUACCGCAUAAGACCACACCGUGGCAUCGCGGAGAGGUCAAAGGAGCAAUCCGCUGAGAGAGGGGCUCGCGUCCCAUUAGAUAGAUGGCGGGGUAACGGCCCACCAUGUCGACGAUGGGUAGCCGAGCUGAGAGGCUGAUCGGCCACACUGGAACUGAGACACGGUCCAGACUCCUACGGGAGGCAGCAGUGGGGAAUAUUGGGCAAUGGGCGCAAGCCUGACCCAGCAACGCCGCGUGAGGGAAGAAGGCUUUCGGGUUGUAAACCUCUGUCCUUGGUGACGAAGAAAGUGACGGUAGCCAAGGAGGAAGCCCCGGCUAACUACGUGCCAGCCGCCGCGGUAA
RNAcentral lists this ribosomal RNA (481 nucleotides) under uncultured bacterium. RNAcentral describes it as "partial 16S ribosomal RNA". It matches the Rfam family "Bacterial small subunit ribosomal RNA", at positions 28 to 523 of the family's 1533-position model. The record is from RNAcentral.